Molecule: ribosomal RNA, 497 nt
Filed under: uncultured bacterium
Lineage: Bacteria
Description: partial 16S ribosomal RNA
Rfam family: Bacterial small subunit ribosomal RNA
Source: RNAcentral
GACGAACGCUGGCGGCGUGCCUAAUACAUGCAAGUUGAGCGCUGAAGGUUGGUACUUGUACCGACUGGAUGAGCAGCGAACGGGUGAGUAACGCGUGGGGAAUCUGCCUUUGAGCGGGGGACAACAUUUGGAAACGAAUGCUAAUACCGCAUAAAAACUUUAAACACAAGUUUUAAGGUUGAAAGAUGCAAUUGCAUCACUCAAAGAUGAUCCCGCGUUGUAUUAGCUAGUUGGUGAGGUAAAGGCUCACCAAGGCGAUGAUACAUAGCCGACCUGAGAGGGUGAGCGGCCACAUUGGGACUGAGACACGGCCCAAACUCCUACGGGAGGCAGCAGUAGGGAAUCUUCGGCAAUGGACGAAAGUCUGACCGAGCAACGCCGCGUGAGUGAAGAAGGUUUUCGGAUCGUAAAACUCUGUUGGUAGAGAAGAACGUUGGUGAGAGUGGAAAGCUCAUCAAGUGACGGUAACUACCCAGAAAGGGACGGCUAACUACGUG